UACGAAGGGGGCUAGCGUUGCUCGGAAUCACUGGGCGUAAAGGGUGCGUAGGCGGGUCUUUAAGUCAUGGGUGAAAUCCUGGAGCUCAACUCCAGAACUGCCUUUGAUACUGAAGAUCUUGAGUUCGGGAGAGGUGAGUGGAACUGCGAGUGUAGAGGUGAAAUUCGUAGAUAUUCGCAAGAACACCAGUGGCGAAGGCGGCUCACUGGCCCGAUACUGACGCUGAGGCACGAAAGCGUGGGGAGCGAACAGG
This 253-nucleotide ribosomal RNA is filed under the name uncultured bacterium. RNAcentral describes it as "partial 16S ribosomal RNA". It matches the Rfam family "Bacterial small subunit ribosomal RNA", at positions 524 to 776 of the family's 1533-position model. The record is from RNAcentral.